AAAGUGCUGGGAUUACAGGUGUGAGCCACCAUGCCCAGCUAAUUUUUUUAUUUUUAGUAGAGACGGGAUUUCACCUUGUUGGUCAGGCUGGUAUGUGCCCAACUUUUAUACCAUUGGCAGCACAGUUGGCCUGUUUACCACAUCACCACACGCAUGUGAGUUGUGCAUUGCACUGUGAUGUUACAAGGCCUAUGACAGCACCAGGUCGAAGACAUUUUCCAGCAGCAUAAUCUUAUGCGACCAUCAUGGUCCGUGCAGCCCAUUGUUUGGAAUGUCAUGCAGCACAUGACUACACGCACACAUACAGAAUAUUGAUUCUGCUUCUCGAAGAACCCUAAUGCAUUUUCCACACUGGCAGAUUGUCUGUCUUCUAAGCUACAGCAGCAACCAAAUAUCAUGAAUGCUUUUUGGGUUCCUAACUCUAGUUGGGAGUCCCAAGUGACUUACUGUGGUUAAGCCCCCAGAAUGAGUUGUCAAGGUUCAGGCUCUGUUGAUGAUGAGGAAGAAGAACCAGGACCACCUACCAGUUACCUCUAUUUGACAGUCACUUGGCUCAGUUCUUUGGCUUGGGGGUGUGUGUGUGUGUGUUUGAGACAGUCUUGAUCUGUUGCCCAGGCUGGAGUGCAGUGGUGUGAUCUUGGCUCACUGCAACCUCCGCCUCCCAGGUUCAAGCGAUUCUCCUGCCUCAGCCUCCCGAGUAGCUGUGAUUACAGGUGCAUGCCACCACGCCCGGCUAACUUUUGUAUUUUUAGUAAAGACAGCAUUUUGCUGUGUUGGCCAGGCUGGUCUUGAACUCCUGACCUCAGGUGAUCUGCCCGCCUUGACCUCUCAAAGUGCUGGGAUUACAGGCGUGAGCCACCGCACCUGGCCUUUGCUCAGUUCUUUGCGUAAGUUAUCUCCUUCAAUCUUCAAAGUAAAUAUGCGAGAUAAACAUCAUUUACCAUCUUUAAAGGACGAAAAAGCUGGAGCUCAGAAAGGUUGGUCUCUUGAACAGGAUGGUAAGACUCGUACGUUGCUGACCAGGACCCUAAAGUUUUUCCCCUACCACCACCAUAUACUCUUCAUGAGCCAUCCUUUCCCAAAUAACCUAAACACACACACACAUAAGGAAACAGCACUUGCUAUACAAGCAAGUCCAGCUUCAAGACAAGCCCCAGGCUCCGCUCACCAUGCAGAAUGCUGGGCCUAAGCUCCUCCUGUGUGGAAUGCUGAAGAAAUCACCACCCUUGAUGCAAAACGAGGCCUGUCUCAAAUCAGCUUGUGGUGACUGAGGCAAAGGUGGGAAUGGGGAGUGACUGUCUAAUGGAUACAAGGUCUCCUUUUUGGAUGACAAAAAUGUUUUGGAACUAGACAGAAAUGAUGGUUCUACAACACUGUAAAUGUACCAAAUGCUAACUGAAUUGUGCACUUUAAAAUGGGUUCAUUUUGUUAUGUGACUUUUACCAGAUGAACAAAAACACUGUCUAUCUAACACAGAUCCAUGCCUUUACAUGGUAUGUUAUAUAAUAACACUUUACCGUCCUUUAUCCAGGACCACGACUUCAUUUCACAGACACUGCAGUUCUCAAGAAUCCAGGUGGUGGCAGCAGAGAGCUGAGAGAAACCAGCACUUCCCUACCGGCCCUAAGGAAGGUCCGGAAUAAGAAUAUUGACCUUGCCCAGUUGCAGUGAGCAUUUCUGUAUUGCACCAGUCACAGUGGCGAAUGCAGCUAAGGAGAGGCAGGUAGAUGGAGCCACAGAACCAGAUGUGGUCUGGGCAGUGUUUCAUCCCACCAGGAAUGACAGUGCAUCUGCAGCUCCCAGAGGGCUCUCUGACACCCUACCUCCAACUGUGAGCAAUCAUCUUUACCUCCUCAUCCAGAGGAAGGAGGCCAGCGGGAUGCAGAGCCUCAGCAGCUUCAGCCCAGGCUCAGGGCUGAAGUGGAGAAGCAUCCAGGCCAGUUCUGGCAUUGGUGGAACCAGCUGGGCCGGGGGUUGCCCCAGGUAAAAGGAACAGGACCCAUCACUGAGACCACAGGACAGAGAACACUGAGAAUAUAGACUCAGACACAAAAUAGGACUUACUUUCCGGCUCCCUGAAAGCUGGGCAUGGCCAUGUGCCUUGCUGUGGGGGAUGAACCCAGAGCAGAAGAAGUGUGUGUCGCUUCUGGCUGGAGACUUCAAGAGCAGUACACGAUUUGCCAAGUCUCUCUGCCUGGCCACGGCAAAUGGUGAGUCCCAGAGAGUUGACAACGUGGAGCAGAGCUCCCCGCAACCCAUGGCAGGCACGGAACACAAACAAGAUAAAAUGUUGAGUGUUGUGAGCCCCUGACAUGGGGGCUGUUUGCUUGCAGCAUAACCGGUCCUAUCCUGACACACGCUUGGGGUUGGGGGUCACAAACUCAAAUGCCAGGCAGGCGAUGUGAGGGACCACGUGGGAAAGAGUGGGUGAGGACUUGUUCAAACACAGGUGACAGGCUGGGUGUAGCGGCUCACGCCUGUGAUCCCAGCCCUUUGGGAGGCCGAGGCGGGCAGAUCACCUGAGGUCAGAAGUUCGAGACCAGCCUGGCCAACAUGGCGAAACCUCAUCUCUACUAAAAAUACAAAAAUUAGGCCAGAUGCAGUGGCUCACACCUG
Molecule: long non-coding RNA, 2616 nt
Filed under: Homo sapiens (human)
Lineage: Eukaryota; Metazoa; Chordata; Mammalia; Primates; Hominidae
Description: HSALNT0262564
Source: RNAcentral